Molecule: ribosomal RNA, 490 nt
Filed under: uncultured bacterium
Lineage: Bacteria
Description: partial 16S ribosomal RNA
Rfam family: Bacterial small subunit ribosomal RNA
Source: RNAcentral
AUUGAACGCUGGCGGCAGGCCUAACACAUACAAGUCGAAUGGUAACAGGAAACAGCUUGCUGUUUCGCUGACGAGUGGCGGACGGGUGAGUAAUGUCUGGGAAACUGCCUGAUGGAGGGGGAUAACUACUGGAAACGGUAGCUAAUACCGCAUAACGUCGCAAGACCAAAGAGGGGGACCUUCGGGCCUCUUGCCAUCAGAUGUGCCCAGAUGGGAUUAGCUAGUAGGUGGGGUAACGGCUCACCUAGGCGACGAUCCCUAGCUGGUCUGAGAGGAUGACCAGCCACACUGGAACUGAGACACGGUCCAGACUCCUACGGGAGGCAGCAGUGGGGAAUAUUGCACAAUGGGCGCAAGCCUGAUGCAGCCAUGCCGCGUGUAUGAAGAAGGCCUUCGGGUUGUAAAGUACUUUCAGCGGGGAGGAAGGGAGUAAAGUUAAUACCUUUGCUCAUUGACGUUACCCGCAGAAGAAGCACCGGCUAACUCCGUG